UCGAGAAUAAUUCACAAUGGGGGAAACCCUGAUGGUGCAACGCCGCGUGGAGGAUGAAGGUCUUCGGAUUGUAAACUCCUGUCAUCCGGGAGUAAGACCUGGCGGUAAAUAGCCGACAGGGUUGAUAGUACCGGAAGAGGAAGGGACGGCUAACUUCGGGCCAGCAGCCGCGGUAAUACGAAGGUCCCAAGCGUUGUUCGGAAUCACUGGGCGUAAAGGGGGCGUAGGCGGGUUGGUAAGUCAGAGGUG
Molecule: ribosomal RNA, 249 nt
Filed under: uncultured Luteolibacter sp.
Lineage: Bacteria; Pseudomonadati; Verrucomicrobiota; Verrucomicrobiia; Verrucomicrobiales; Verrucomicrobiaceae
Description: partial 16S ribosomal RNA
Rfam family: Bacterial small subunit ribosomal RNA
Source: RNAcentral